Molecule: long non-coding RNA, 718 nt
Organism: Athalia rosae (coleseed sawfly)
Lineage: Eukaryota; Metazoa; Arthropoda; Insecta; Hymenoptera; Athaliidae
Exons: 3
Source: RefSeq, a predicted model, not a curated record
GUUCUUUUCAUAGGAGAUCAUUGGCUAUGGGAUUGCAAUUGUCUAUGAAUGGAAUCGCCGCAGUCUCUUCGACGUGUCUCAAUGUGUCAGUCGAGAAGGAUCUCAGAUAAAUUGGAUGAGGAUGUUUACUUUCAUUACUAGAGAAGACAGCAAAACAGAGUUUGAUUAUUUUGGGCACUCCUGUGGCAGCCUGAAGCCGCUUUCUCUGUGGAUUCUACUCCGUUGAGGCAUGACUUUAUCCAACAGCAUUCAGAGAUCAUAUACAAGAUUCCAAAAAAGAUGAUGGAAUUUUCGUCGUGCACCAAGAGAAAAGGAUAUACGGAUUCCAGAAUGUCCUCGGGUCGUUGUUUGACCAUUUCUGCAUGCAAAUGAUCUAAUCGAAGACCGCACCAUUCAGCACAAAGAACUUUGCAACAAUUAUGACCGAUUAUUGGUGUUUCCUAAUGAAAUAUUCUCAUAUAUAGCUGAAGAUUAAAUGCUGAGUCUAUUGUAUGAUGUGCCAGAGUAAUUCAAAACCGUCUGUCGCUUUAACUUUCGCUUAUUUCGUACGAAUAUGCUCACUGAAUUAAUUCAUUAGUCGAAUUAUUCAACGUAUGGCGUAUUUUCCAUUUUAAAAGGCAAAAAAAUUGUGAUAUCUUGAUAGCUCUCAGUCGUUGUUCAAUUAUCUGACCAGAUUCUAGUUUCCAAGAUCAAAAUAAAUACAACUACUGCUCUGUCA